Molecule: non-coding RNA, 144 nt
Organism: Elasticomyces elasticus
Lineage: Eukaryota; Fungi; Ascomycota; Dothideomycetes; Mycosphaerellales; Teratosphaeriaceae
Source: the annotation of a GenBank genome assembly
GGAUCUUUGGUCUAGUGGAAUUGACUAUUGCGAACGAGUUCCAAGCGGUUCCUUCGGGGAUGCGGUUCACUCCAGUCACGCCCAGCGCGUAUAUUGGUUCAUGUUACUUUGCAAUCGACCCGGGUUCGAUCCCCGGAAGAUCUA